RNAcentral lists this ribosomal RNA (330 nucleotides) under uncultured bacterium. RNAcentral describes it as "bacterial SSU rRNA". It matches the Rfam family "Bacterial small subunit ribosomal RNA", at positions 568 to 898 of the family's 1533-position model. The record is from RNAcentral.
CGCGCAGGCGGCCUUUCAAGUCAGGGGUGAAAGCCCGGAGCUCAACUCCGGAAUUGCCUUUGAAACUGUGAGGCUUGAGUACGGGAGAGGUGAGUGGAAUUCCCAGUGUAGAGGUGAAAUUCGUAGAUAUUGGGAAGAACACCGGUGGCGAAGGCGGCUCACUGGCCCGUAACUGACGCUCAGGCGCGACAGCGUGGGGAUCAAACAGGAUUAGAUACCCUGGUAGUCCACGCCGUAAACGAUGAACGCUAGCCGUUGGCAAGCUUGCUUGUCAGUGGCGCAGCUAACGCAUUAAGCGUUCCGCCUGGGGAGUACGGCCGCAAGGUUGAA